ACAUCUGCAAUCCCGAUGGCAGCGGGGCUGCUGAGUCCCCCUGAAAAUCCGGCUUGUAAAGUGCUGUUCCCAACACUGCACCCUGAAUUUUGGGGCAAAGCCGAAGUCUCUCCCACCUUCGCCACCACCCGUACGGGGGAGGAAUCCACGCUGCCGGGCCGGCAGCCGGAGCGGGCCCGCGGCCCGGCCAGGCCGCAGGGGGCGGUCCGGGCCCGGCGCCGCUCGCCCGGGCGCAGGCGCCGCCGUGGGCCCGUGGCGGAGGGCAGCUCGCUCCGGGACGGUGGCUCCAUGCGCUGCCAGGUCUCGGUGCUGUAUUUCGCCAGGAGCGCGGAGCUGGCGGGGCUGCGCUCUGAGACCCUCUCGGUGCCACGGGAGAUCACCUCUCUGCAGCUCUGGGAGGAGAUCGUCAAGGUCCACCCCAGGCUUGCUGUCAUCCGAGAUCAAGUGGUAUUUGCCGUUCGGCAGGAGUACGUGCUUCUUGGAGAUCAGCUGCUGGUCCUGCAGCCUGGAGACGAGGUUGCCAUCAUCCCACCAAUUAGUGGAGGCUGAACCUUCCCUGGUUCUAUUAGGUCCGAAGAUGUGAUUGCAAUUCUCUCCUGCCACCCCAGUACUCAUUUGAGAGAGCCCAACUUGUGUUUCUGUCUGGAGAGUGCAGUUGUGCUGAGCAGAAACUAUAUGCCAGUGCACCAGUAAAUGAUUAACAUGUAUGCAGUAAAUGGAAGACACUUUUCAGAGAGUGCGAUAUGGAAGAAAGCGAAGAUGUGCCAAAAGAUUUUAUCAAGCUCAAGUUUGAAAAGCUGUCUGUAGAUGAAGUGUCAGAGCUGGUUGUUUCGCCAUACUGUGGGGCAGUGUCUCUGUUCAUUGGUACUACAAGAAAUAAUUUUGAAGGAAAAAAAGUGAUUCACUUAGAAUAUGAAGCAUAUACUUCAAUGGCAGAGACUGAAAUAAAGAAAAUCUGCAGAGAUGUUAGACAGAAAUGGCCUUCAGUCAAACAUAUUGCAGUGCACCAUAGACUUGGUUCAGGGAAGAUUUCUUGCUGAAACUAGCAGGAUUUGCUGAAAUCCUAAAGGAACUUGGGAUGUGAUUGCAAAGGCGUGGUUCCAAUAACUGAAGCAAGUGUAAUUAUUGCAGCCUCCUCUCCACACAGAGCAGAAUCCCUUGAAGCUGUAAUGUACUGCAUCAAUACCUUAAAAGCAUCCGUCCCAAUAUGGAAAAAGUGGAUCAAGAGAAGGACUGCUGGAACAGUAUGUUACUGUAUACUCCGGACCUGCCAGUUCUAAGGGUUAAGUUUGUUUGAAAGGCAAAAAUUUACAAGAAAAGGCACUAUAAAUCAUUUUUGAAAAAACCAAACUGUCCUGCAGUUACUCUUGCAAUAGAGUAGAAUCUGUAAAAUAUUUUCAUCUAUAUAAAGACACUUUCAUUAAAAA
RNA transcript from Parus major (Great Tit), 1427 nucleotides. It is a transcript of the gene named molybdopterin synthase sulfur carrier subunit-like, with no coding region annotated. The transcript has 9 exons. NCBI's taxonomy places the organism in Eukaryota, Metazoa, Chordata, Aves, Passeriformes, Paridae. The record is from RefSeq and is a predicted model, not a curated record.